AAAAUCUGGCAAGGGAGAUACUAUGAUCAUGAAGGUGGCUUUCCCAGGGAGAGGCUUAUCCAUUGCACUCUGGAUGUGCUGAUCCCUGCAAUUGCCACAAAUGUGGGAAACUUGAUUGCAUAAGUUGUGGUAGUGAGAGACUACAUUUGCACUCUUC
RNAcentral lists this small nuclear RNA (157 nucleotides) under Carlito syrichta (Philippine tarsier). RNAcentral's name for it is "U1 spliceosomal RNA (ENSTSYG00000021627.2)". It matches the Rfam family "U1 spliceosomal RNA". Rfam says of the family: U1 is a small nuclear RNA (snRNA) component of the spliceosome (involved in pre-mRNA splicing). Its 5' end forms complementary base pairs with the 5' splice junction, thus defining the 5' donor site of an intron. Lineage: Eukaryota; Metazoa; Chordata; Mammalia; Primates; Tarsiidae. The record is from RNAcentral.